RNAcentral lists this ribosomal RNA (253 nucleotides) under uncultured bacterium. RNAcentral's name for it is "partial 16S ribosomal RNA". It matches the Rfam family "Bacterial small subunit ribosomal RNA", at positions 524 to 776 of the family's 1533-position model. The record is from RNAcentral.
GACAGAGGUGGCAAGCGUUGUUCGGUAUCACUGGGCUUAAAGCGUGUGUAGGCGGGAACGUAAGCAUUUUGUGAAAUCCCCCGGCUUAACCGGGGAAUCGCUUGAUGUACUGCGUUUCUUGAGGCAGGUAGGGGUGCGAGGAACUCUUGGUGGAGCGGUGGAAUGCGUAGAUAUCAAGAGGAACGCCGGUGGUGAAGACGUCGCACUGGGCCUGUCCUGACGCUGAGACACGAAAGCGUGGGGAGCGAACGGG